UGGCGAUCAGCAAUCACUUGA
Molecule: non-coding RNA, 21 nt
Filed under: Caenorhabditis elegans
Lineage: Eukaryota; Metazoa; Nematoda; Chromadorea; Rhabditida; Rhabditidae
Source: RNAcentral